UGGUUCACCAGUGGCCUCCUUCCCGAGUGGCCUCCUUCCCGAGUGGCCUCCUUCCCGAGUGGCCUCCUUCACCAGUGGCCUCCUUCCCGAGGCAAUUCUCUGCUCUCCCCUGCUAGAGGGGCAUCCUAAGCCAUUCACCCCAUCCGACUUCAGAGUGUACUCUUUGAGUUUGGCAACUCACCACCAGCAUCCAACCAAAUCCAGUGGAUCAACGGCGCGUCAACUUAGUUCCUGGUCAGCUCGUGAGUUGAUUUUAUCACGUCCUACACCGUCCAUAAGAUGGGGGGCCACCUCCCAUUUCAUCACCUCUCAAACACCCCGGGAUGUCGGCAGGCGGAUUCGAACCCGGACGCGCCAGGACGCGACGGGAGCAGAAGCCAGGCCUUAACCUCUGCCAGCCGCCUGCCUUUGUUGAUGUUGUUGAUGUUGUUACAGGGUGGUUAAGCUUCACCAGUGGCCUCCUUCCCGAGGCAAUUCCCUGCUCUCCCCUGCUAGAGGGGCACCCUAAGCCAUUCACCCCAUCCGACUUCAGAGUGUACUCUUUGAGUUUGGCAACUCACCACCAGCAUCCAACCAAAUCUAGCGGAUCAACGGCGCGUCAACUUAGUUCCUGGUCAGCUCGCGAGUUGAUUUUAUCACGUCCUACACCGUCCACAAGAUGGGGGGCCACCUCCCAUUUCAUCACCUCUCAAACACCCCGAGAGGUCGGCAGGCGGAUUUGAACCCGGACGCGCCGGGACGCGACGGGAGCAGAAGCCAGGCCUUAACUUCUGCCAGCCGCCUGCCUGCCGCCUGCCUGCCAGCCGCCUGCCUGUUUGUUGUUGGCAGCAAACAUAGAUCCCAAGGCGUCCCAGGCCUUCUUCGCGUUGGCAGCACCGGUAACCAUCGGCAAAUGAUGAUCCUUGACGUUCUUGAUGAGCAGAUUGAUGACCUUCCGUGAUUGUCGAAUCUGCUCCUCGUUGCAUGGCUCGGCGAGCAGGGAUUGCUCAAGCCCAAGCUCCAUGCACAUCGCGCUAAACCUGAUUUGCCAGGUGGAGUAGUUGUGGAGGUCCAGCAGCUCAUCAAGCUUAUCCUUGACCAUUGUCGAUAAGGGGUAGAAAUAACAAUCGGAUGAUAGCUGUCGGCGCUACUCGGGGCUCAUAACCUAUUGAAGAAUUGGUGACGGUGACGGCUAACGCUGAUUGUUAUUCCGGAAGGAUUGCCGGUGGCGAAGAUAUUUAGCACGAUAAACUGUUACAAGUAAUGUAAAGAGUAUUAUUAGCGUUCGGCAGGACUUGAGGAGAUUCCUAUGAGGAAUACCGAUCGUAGUGAGAUAAACAAAUAAGCGCAGUCACUGCCCUAAAUACCGGCGCUAGCGGAAAACUCGUACAUUCCGCGAUCUAACUGCACGUACAUUCCGCGAUCUCACUGCGCCGUCCUGAUGGUGCCCUAAUGUCUAUCACUUAGCUACCGGAUAUGCAUCGGUAGCCCCAUAAUGUUCCGGGGUAAGUCUUCCCCAUUAGUCUGACGCAGCCCCGGGGUCAAAUCCCCUGGUCGACAACCUCACGAGUUGGGAGAGGACCACUUCCUCAACACAAUGUGCGUGUGUUGGAGCCUUGGGAACGCUUCAGCAUUAAGGACCAGUCACUGCGUCCGACGGAGUUUGGAUCGCUUACCAUUCGAUCUAAUGUCAACGACAAUCUGGCCAUUACAUUCAAAAGGGGGUCUACGUUGACGAGGAGGUGAUGGUAAAGAUUUUGUCCGUCCGUAUCAUUGAUGAUCACGGUAGAGGUAGCAUCGUCUUCCGUGACGGUCAAGUAGAGGUAUUCUUGCAAAAUCAUUUAGUGUUGACCGGUGAACAGGACGUUGAUCUUUACCCCAUUUGCUAUCGAGGUGGAAGUACAGGCACCAUCAGGAGGACGCAGGAUACGAGCUACUGUGACAACAGACAUGGUACAACGUGCACCGCGGUGGAUUCCAAGACGGAGCGUGCAACACUUUGGCAUCGGCGUUACGGACAUCUGGGCUACAGCAACCUCGAGGCGUUGCUGCGCCACAAUAUGGUAAUGGGAUUUGACGUCGACCAGCACAGCUUUCAAAAAGCCAGCAUGUGUGUUUGCGAGACCUGCGUUUUUGCAAAGCAGACACAAGGUCCUUUUCCGCUAACAGGGCACAAGGCAGCUCAGCCACUAGCACUAGUUCUUAUGGAUGUGUGUGGACCAAUGCCUUGAACCUUCGCCUAGUGGUUCGUGUUACGUGACAACUCUGCUUGACGACCAUACCGGUCUUUCAGCUGUUGCGUUUACAGCGACCAAGGAGGAGGUCUAUCAGAAGAUGAUGGUAAUGAUAGCGGAACUGGAGCACGCUUCUGGCAGGCAGGUUAAAGAGGUGCGUACGGAUCGUGGCUGGGAGUCCAUUAAUACUCACACGAAGGGCUUUUUCGCGUCCAGGGGUAUUGUACAUGGAACUACGGUAGGCUACAACCCUGAGCAGAACGGAGCUGCGGAACGUUUGAAUCGCACUCUCCUAGACAAAACCAGGGCUAUGCCUGUCGAGUCAGGUCUACCUAAGUCAUGGUGGGCGGUAGUGUUGGCGACAGCCAAUUAUCUCAGGAAUGUGUCGCCAACUGCUGGGUCAACUGUCACGCCAUAUGAAGCUUUCUUCAACGUCCGUCCUAACAUCAGUCACCUUCGAGUUUUUGGGUGCGUCGCCUACGUCCACGUACCUGACGUCAAACGCGACAAGUUCGAUCCGGUGAGCAGGCGUGGAAUACUUGUCGGAUGCGGGAACGGAGGACAGAUGAAGGACAGUGUUGAGGAAACGGUCCUCUCCCAACUCGUGUGGUUGUCGACCAGGGGAUUUGACCCCGGGUCUGCGCCUGACUAAUGGGGAAGACUUACCCCAGAACCUUAUGGGGCUACCGAUGCAUAUCCGGUAGCUAAGUGAUAGACAUUAGGGCACCGUCUGGACGGCGCAGUGAGAUCGCGGAAUGUACGUGCAGUUAGAUCGCGGAAUGUACGAGUUUUCCGCUAGCGCCGGUAUUUAGGGCGGUGACAGCGCCUAUUAGUUUAUCUCACAACGAUCGGUAUUCCUACCAGGAAUCUCCUCAAGUCCUGCCGAACGCUAACAAUAUUCUUUACAUUACUUGUAACAGUUUAUCGUGCUAAAUAUCUUCGCCACCGGCAAUCCUUCCGGAAUAACAAUCAGCGUUAGCAGUCACCGUCGCCAAUUCUUCAAUAGGUUAUGAGCCCCGCUUAGCGCCGACAGCUAUCGCCCAAAUUGUUAUUUCUAUCCCUCAUCGACAAUGGUUAAGGACAAGCUUGAUGAGUCGCUGGACCUCAACAACUACUCUACCUGGCAAAUUCGGUUUAGCGCGAUGUGCAUGGAGCUUGGGCUUGAGCAAUCCCUGCUCGCCGAGCCGUGCAACGAGGAGCAAAUUCGACAGUCACGGAAGGUCAUCAAUCUGCUCAUCAAGAACGUCAAGGAUCAUCAUUUGCCGAUGGUUACCGGUGCUGCCAACGCGAAGAAGGCCUGGGACGCCUUGGGAUCUAUGUUUGCUGCCAACAACAACGCCCGCAAGGUGUCUCUACGUCAAGAAUUCAGCCGUUUUAAGAUGGUCGACGGCGAACCUCUUCCGAUGUACUUUGCGCGUGCAAGGCAGCUGCAAACAGAUUUAUUGGGAGUCGGCCACGUAGUUAACGACUCCGAGCUGGCGUACACCGUGCUAGUUGGUCUACCCAGUCGGUACAGCGUGGUGACGACUACAUUACUUAUCCCAGGAGGGGUCCUAGACGGCUGGACCCGCCGCCUUGGACUUACAGUUCGUAUGGCGAAGUAUAGUGUGGUAGUGGUGGACGGUGCUAUAAGAUGAUAAAUUGUAGAACUGACAAUGUGAUAAAGCGGCCCAGAAGCCUCCCACUCUGUAACAUUACACAUUACACAUUACUUAUGCGCGACGGCGAUUUGGACAUGGCGAGCGUCACAGCAAAGCUUCUCUCUAUCGAGACGGCUAACGGUGGGUCGGGCAAGCCUACCGAGUUGGCAGCCUUCGCGUCUGUCGGCGGUUCGACGUUCGGCGCUUCUACUUCUGGUUAUGGUAGCCGGGGGCCGGCUAACAACAGCUCGGGACAUAGUCGGAAGCAAGUCAUCUGCUACUACUGUAAUAAACCUGGGCACGUGGUUAAGGACUGCAGGCAGCUUAAGGCGCUGAAGCAGUCGUCAAAUUCUGGCUACAAGGGUGGCUACAGCAACAGUGGUAACGGAGGUAGUGGCAGCGGAGCUAGCGGCAGCAAGCCAGGAUCCGGUGGAUCAGCUAGGGGGCCAGGAGUUCCGCGGCAGGUAGCAUUCGUGGCAUACAACAGCAAUCGUCCGACGGAAUGGUUUCUGGACUCAGCCGCCACUCACCACAUAACGUAUGACCGCUCAGAACUUUUCAACGUGCGGUUGUUGGAGCCGUGGGAGCGCUUCAACAUCAUGGGCAUCAAGGGACAAUCUCUUCGACCGACUGAAGUUGGCACGCUUACGAUUCAGUCUAACGUCAACGAUAAACAGGCCAUCACUUUCAAGAAGGUCUACGUCGACGAGGAGGCCACCGCCAAAAUCAUAUCGGUACGCAUCAUUGAUGAUCGUGGAGGCAGUGUGGUCUUCGGCGGCGGACAGGCGAAAGUAUACGUACAGAACCAGUUGGUGCUGACUGGAAAGCGGGAUGGGGACUUGUAUCCCGUCUGCUACAGCAGUGGAGGUACGGGAGCUCUGAAGAGGACGCAGCGUGAAGACAACAGGAUACCUUCUGGUGGUGAUGCAGUGUGUGCUGCCGUGGGUAUCGGAGCUGAACGUGCAGCACUUUGGCACCGAAGGUAUGGCCACUUGGGAUACAGCAACCUUGAGACGUUGCUGCGUCAUAAUAUGGUAGCUGGAUUUGAUGUUGACCGACACAGCAUACAAUCAGCCAGCACGUGUGUGUGUGAGACUUGUGUCCUUGCUAAACAUACACGUGGUCCUUUUCCGUUAUCUGGGCAUAAGGCAGCGCAGCCUCUCGCGCUCAUUCACAUGGAUGUGUGUGGGCCUAUGCCUGAACCUUCGCCUAGUGGUUCGCGUUACAUGACAACCCUGCUUGACGACCAUACUGGUCUUUCAGCUGUUGCGUUUACAGCGACCAAGGAGGAGGUCUACCAGAAGAUGGUGGUAAUGAUAGCGGAACUGGAGCGCGCUACUGGCAGGCAGGUUAAGGAGGUGCGUACAGAUCGUGGCGGGGAGUUCGUUAAUACUCGCACGAAGGCCUAUUUCGCUUCCAGGGGUAUUCUACACGGAACUACGGUAGGCUACACCCCUGAGCAGAACGGAGCUGCAGAACGUUUAAAUCGCACUCUUUUGGACAAGACUAGGGCUAUGCUAGUUGAGUCUGGACUGCCUAAAUCAUUAUGGGCGGAGGCGUUAGCGACAGCCAACUAUCUUAGGAAUGUGUCACCAACUGCUGGGUCAACCGUCACUCCGUACGAAGCUUUCUUUAACGUUCGUCCGAACAUCAGUCACCUGCGAGUUUUUGGAUGUGUUGCCUACGUCCACGUACCCGACGUCAAGCGCGACAAGUUCGACCCGGUGAGCAGGCGUAGAAUACUUGUCGGAUACGGGAACGGUGGACAGUAUCGUGUACUAUACGAGGACGGCAUUAUUGCCGUAGUUUCUAACGUUCGUUUCGAUGAAUCUAAUGUCGGCCGGCGGCGUAAUGCCGGGGACUCCGAUUAUGAGUCCGAUGCCGACGAGGAGGAGGAGUUUCGCACUAGUUUAUCUGGUGAGGGAUCGCUGCCUAGGGCUGGCGAAGGGACACCAGGUAGCACCGUCGGCGAGGGAUCGCCGCGCUUGGGUGGCGAGGGGGCGCCGGCUGGGGCUGGACCUUCCAGCAGUGCGAAUGGGCAAGGAAUCAAUCAGCCUGAUGUGGAAAUGGCGGGAACUAGGUACCCAGUUAGAGAGCGUAAACACCCUGGCGAAUGGUGGCGAAAUGAACCUGGUCGCACUGUUACUGGUCGCGUUAACGCUGCUUUCUCUACUGAUAUUCCCGAACCGAAUUCUUUUGUGGAAGCCAUUGCGAGUCCACAUGCAGACGACUGGCGGCGUGCGAUGGACGAGGAGAUCGCCGCCCAGAUGGCUAAUAGUACUUGGGAGCUGAAGAAGCCACCUCCUGGUACUCGUUUGUUGCCGUGUCGUUGGGUAUAUAAGGUUAAGUACAGCGAUGACGGCAGCAUGGAGCGCUUUAAGGCGCGUUUAGUUGCCAAGGGUUUUGAGCAACGCGAGGGGAUUGAUUAUGGGGAGUUGUUUGCCCCUACCUCUCGUGGUUCGUCAUUACGAGCUUUAUUAGCAGUUGCCGCAGCGCGGGACAUGACGGUGCAUCAGCUAGAUGUGUCUACUAUGGUGAGCUGAAGGAGGAGUUGUGGAUGGAGCAACCGCCUGGGUAUGCAUCCAGUGACCGGUCGCUUGCGUGCAAGCUGCAGAAAUCUAUUUACGGUUUGAAGCAGGCACCCCGUUGCUGGUAUGAAAAGCUAUCAGCAGAGUUCGCCAAGCUGGGUCUUUAUCCUUCAAAGUCUGAUCCGGCGAUGUUUGUUAAGACGGACGAGCGUGGGGUUCUUAUUGCUUUGGUGCACGUAGAUGAUACAAUUGUUGCGUCGGAAGACCCGGAAAUGGUCCGGGCAAUUAAAGCCGCAAUUGUGAAGGUCUUCAAGGUGCGCGACCUUGGAGAAGCGAAGGUGUUUUGGGGCAUGGAAAUUAGGAGGGAGAAGUCGGGUGAGAUAGUGUUGUCGCAGCAUAGGUAUAUUGCGCAGCUGUUGGAGCGUCAUAGGAUGAUUGACGCCAAGCCGAGGUCUACUCCUUUGCCUCCGGGCUUUAGGUACACUCCUAAGGGGGACGGAGAGGAGCUGCUGGGCAAUCCCACAGAGUAUAGGGCUUUGGUGGGAGAAUUGAACUAUCUGGCGACGAACACGCGGCCUGACAUUUCAUAUGCAUUGAGCGUUUUGUCCUGGCAUAUGGCCGCACCCACGAAGACUGCCAUGAACUUGGCAACCGGCGUUCUGCGUUACCUGGCGGGUACACGCGAACUAGGAUUGCGUUUUGGGGGUGUUGGCGACGUUGCUAUGUCCGGGUACAGUGAUUCGGACUGGGCAGGAGACCCAGUUACGCGGCGUUCUACGUCCGGUUACGUAUUCACUCUUAAUGGGGCUGCGAUUAGCUGGAGCAGCCAACUUCAACGUACUGUGGCGGCUUCGUCGGUGGAGGCUGAGUACCAAGCUACAGCGGCGGCUGUUCGUGAGGCUUUGUGGCUUCGCAAGCUGAUGGUUGAUUUGGGCUUGCCUGAGAGCGCGGUGAAAAUCCAGAUAGACUCCCAGGGGGCGCUUAGCUUGGGAAACAACCCGAUUACGUCUGCUCGGUCGAAGCACAUCGACGUGCAGCAUCACAUAGUGCGUGAGAGGGUGAAUAGCGGUGAGGUGCAGUUGGAAUACUGCCCUGGAUGGUUGCGGAUGUACUAACGAAGGCUCUGGGCGAGGUGAAGUUCAAACGUUGCCGAGAUGCUAUGGGCCUUGUGUGAAGUGUGCAGAUGAACUUGGUACUCGUUGGGAUACGGCCCGAGGGGGCGUGUUGAGGAAACGGUCCUCUCCCAACUCGUGUGGUUGUCGACCAGGGGAUUUGACCCCGGGUCUGCGCCUGACUAAUGAGGAAGACUUACCCCAGAACCUUAUGGGGCUACCGAUGCAUAUCCGGUAGCUAAGUGAUAGACAUUAGGGCACCGUCUGGACGGCGCAGUGAGAUCGCGGAAUGUACGUGCAGUUAGAUCGCGGAAUGUACGAGUUUUCCGCUAGCGCCGGUAUUUAGGGCGGUGACAGCGCCUAUUAGUUUAUCUCACAACGAUCGGUAUUCCUACCAGGAAUCUCCUCAAGUCCUGCCGAACGCUAACAAUAUUCUUUACAUUACUUGUAACAGUUUAUCGUGCUAAAUAUCUUCGCCACCGGCAAUCCUUCCGGAAUAACAAUCAGCGUUAGCAGUCACCGUUGCCAAUUCUUCAAUAGACAGAUGGUUGCGGAUGUGCUCACGAAGACUCUGUUGAAGGGCGGUCCUAUCCCAACAUAGAUAGGUGAUUGUUAGGCGAUGAAUCCGCCGAUAUAGGCGUUGCCUCGGACGUGCCUCGACCUUGCCUCGGCCGUACCUCGACCUUGCCUCCGCGGUACCUUGACCUUGCCUCGGGUCUCUCGGCCGCGUAUCUCGGACGUGUCCUCAGGUCCAGGGAUGGUGGACGACUGUACGAUACUUCCGUUGGUAUCGGUACAUAAGACCAGAGUGGUGCAUGUCUUUCUAUCUCAUCUUCGGAUGGAUCGGUAUUCCUUCAUCGGAAUCUCCUAAAGUCUUCUUGCCGUUCACCACUAACCCACAGACUGUAACCCUUAUAUCGCGACCAGUCUCCUUGCCUUCAUAUUCUUAACAGACUCUGGGCGAGGUGAAAUUCAAACGUUGCUGAGAUGCGAUUAUUGAAGAAUUGGCGACGGUGACAGCUAACGCUAAUUGUUAUUCCGGAAGGAUUGCCGGUGGCGAAGAUAUUUAGCACGAUAAACUUGUUACAAGUAAUGUAAAGAGUAUUGUUAGCGUUCGGCAGGACUUGAGGAGAUUCCUGGUAGGAAUACCGAUCGUUGUGAGAUAAACUAAUAGGCGCAGUCACCGCCCUAAAUACCGGCGCUAGCGGAAAACUCGUACAUUCCGCGAUCUAACUGCACGUACAUUCCGCGAUCUCACUGCGCCGUCCAGACGGUGCCCUAAUGUCUAUCACUUAGCUACCGGAUAUGCAUCGGUAGCCCCAUAAGGUUCUGGGGUAAGUCUUCCCCAUUAGUCAGGCGCAGACCCGGGGUCAAAUCCCCUGGUCGACAACCACACNNNNNNNNNNNNNNNNNNNNNNNNNNNNNNNNNNNNNNNNNNNNNNNNNNNNNNNNNNNNNNNNNNNNNNNNNNNNNNNNNNNNNNNNNNNNNNNNNNNNNNNNNNNNNNNNNNNNNNNNNNNNNNNNNNNNNNNNNNNNNNNNNNNNNNNNNNNNNNNNNNNNNNNNNNNNNNNNNNNNNNNNNNNNNNNNNNNNNNNNNNNNNNNNNNNNNNNNNNNNNNNNNNNNNNNNNNNNNNNNNNNNNNNNNNNNNNNNNNNNNNNNNNNNNNNNNNNNNNNNNNNNNNNNNNNNNNNNNNNNNNNNNNNNNNNNNNNNNNNNNNNNNNNNNNNNNNNNNNNNNNNNNNNNNNNNNNNNNNNNNNNNNNNNNNNNNNNNNNNNNNNNNNNNNNNNNNNNNNNNNNNNNNNNNNNNNNNNNNGGGAGACUUAACCCAGAACUUUAUGGGGCUACCGAUGCAUAUCCGGUAGUUAAUUGGUAGACAUUUGGGGACCGUCAGGACGGCGGAGUGAGAUCGCGGAAUGUACGUGCAGUGAGAUCGUGAUAUGUACGAGUAUUCCGCUAGCGCUGGUAUUUAGGGUGGUGACUGCACUUAUUUCUUUAUCUCACAACGAUCGGUAUUCCUCAAACGGAAUCUCCUAAAGUCCUGCCAAACGCAUAUAUUACUUUUUACAUUACUUGUAACAGUUUAUCGUGUACAGUAUCUUCGCCGCCGGCAUUCCUUCCGGAAUAACAGUCAGCGUCAGCUGUCACCGUCGCCAACAGGGCAAACCAACAAGCAAAGUGUGCGCCCGCUCAUCGCUGAUAAUCGCUGAUAACGUGUCCUACUCUCAAACAAGUCCGACUGUAGUUGCUUGCAGGCAUCCUAUGCCUUCUUCGCGUUAGUUAUGUAAGCUACUAGCGUUGACCGGGGCUCAUAACCCACCAUUCGGCUGGCUGGGGCUGGACCUUCCAGCAGUGCGAGUGUGCAAGGAAAUACACACCCUGAUGUGGAAAUGCUGGGGGCUCAGUAUUCAGUUAAGGAACGCAAACGUCCUGGCGAGUGGUGACGGAGUGGUCCUGGUCGUAGUGCUACAGGCCAAGUCAUUGCUGCAGUAUCUGUAAUGUAAUGUAAUGUAAUGUAAUGUUACAGAGUGGGAGGCUUCUGGGCCGCUUUAUCACAUUGUCAGUUCUACGAUUUAUCAUCUUAUAGCACCGUCCACCACUACCACACUAUACUUCGCCAUACGAACUGUAAGUCCAAGGCGGCGGGUCCAGCCGUCUAGGACCCCUCCUCAUCCAUUCACCCGAACAACCGAAGANNNNNNNNNNNNNNNNNNNNNNNNNNNNNNNNNNNNNNNNNNNNNNNNNNCUCAACAGCGAUGGGCCUUGUGUGAAGCGUGCUGAUGAACCUGGUACUCGUUAAGAUACGGCCCGAGGGGCGUGUUGAGGAAACGGUCCUCUCCCAACUCGUGUGGUUGUCGACCAGGGGAUUUUACCCCGGGUCUGCACCUGACUAUUGGGGAGACUUAACCCAGAACUUUAUGGGGCUACCGAUGCAUAUCCGGUAGUUAAUUGGUAGACAUUUGGGGACCGUCAGGACGGCGGAGUGAGAUCGCGGAAUGUACGUGCAGUGAGAUCGUGAUAUGUACGAGUAUUCCGCUAGCGCUGGUAUUUAGGGUGGUGACUGCACUUAUUUCUUUAUCUCACAACGAUCGGUAUUCCUCAAACGGAAUCUCCUAAAGUCCUGCCAAACGCAUAUAUUACUUUUUACAUUACUUGUAACAGUUUAUCGUGUACAGUAUCUUCGCCGCCGGCAUUCCUUCCGGAAUAACAGUCAGCGUCAGCUGUCACCGUCGCCAACAGGGCAAACCAACAAGCAAAGUGUGCGCCCGCUCAUCGCUGAUAAUCGCUGAUAACGUGUCCUACUCUCAAACAAGUCCGACUGUAGUUGCUUGCAGGCAUCCUAUGCCUUCUUCGCGUUAGUUAUGUAAGCUACUAGCGUUGACCGGGGCUCAUAACCCACCAUUCGGCUGGCUGGGGCUGGACCUUCCAGCAGUGCGAGUGUGCAAGGAAAUACACACCCUGAUGUGGAAAUGCUGGGGGCUCAGUAUUCAGUUAAGGAACGCAAACGUCCUGGCGAGUGGUGACGGAGUGGUCCUGGUCGUAGUGCUACAGGCCAAGUCAUUGCUGCAGUAUCUGUAAUGUAAUGUAAUGUAAUGUAAUGUUACAGAGUGGGAGGCUUCUGGGCCGCUUUAUCACAUUGUCAGUUCUACGAUUUAUCAUCUUAUAGCACCGUCCACCACUACCACACUAUACUUCGCCAUACGAACUGUAAGUCCAAGGCGGCGGGUCCAGCCGUCUAGGACCCCUCCUCAUCCAUUCACCCGAACAACCGAAGAGACGGAGGGUUCGGCAAUCGCCACCAAUCUAGCGUGCGAAUCUGGUCCAUCAACUGCGACCUCAACUCCACAUCUCAGCAGCUAGCCAUAAUCUCGCGCUCCCGAUUAAUUCGGGGGUUUCCCCAGGAAUCGAACCCAGGACCUUAAACCGCGAAUCGCAGUAGUGUCAACCCAGACCAGGUAUCUGCUGGGAUUCAGAGCCUAACUUGUAUGCCGAAGCCAUCUCAGGCCCACAUGCAGACGACUGGCGGCAGUGAGUGCCGCGAGAAUUUUGAAAUGGCUUCAGUGAAAGUAUUACUCAGCAAAAACUCAGCAGGGUUCGGAUCAAUGACAGUCACAGCCACGUUAAUGCUCCUAUCCUCCUAUCCUUCCUGCAUCACCGGAGAUCCUGCAACACUCUAAAGGCCAUAAUAACUUAUUCCCACUUCUUCUGAACCCCUGCGUUGGCUUGCACCACUGGAUGUUCCGGCUUCUUCCGGCAUUCCUCCACCAUCCACAGGUGACAGUGGUGCCUAGCCCACUGUGUUUCCUAAGUCUACCAGAGCUUGGCAGAGGCCCUGACUCAGGUACACCAAUACUUGCCGCUUCGGAGUCAGUCAAUUCCCCUUCACAAAAAUAGUUGCUCUUAUCUUGCAGCAAACACGGUAUCACUGCACCGCCGCCACUGCCUGUCUGUUGAGGCAUGCUACCCCACCUGCCACGUGCGGGCGCCAAGGCCACCUCCACUCAUUCUCUGCACGUUAGGCUGCGGCACUCUGCAACUCCGAGCUAUACGGCCCAUCUGUUGGUAGUUGUAGCAAAUGAUCGCCUGUUGCAAUCCACGCUAUCCAGCGGGGUCUACCGGAUACAGAUAUUUCGUGGCACUCACUGCCGCCAGUCGUCUGCAUGUGGACCUGGGAUGGCUUCAGCAUACAAGUUAGACUCUGAAUCCCAGCAGAUACUGCAGCAAUGACUCGGCCUGUAGCAUUACGACUUCGUUCAUUUCGUAACCACUCGCCAGGACGUUUGCGUUCCUUAACUGAGUACCGAGCCCCCAGCAUUUCCACAUCAGGGUGUGUCUCAUUGCACACUCGCACUGCUGGAAGGUCCAACCCCUGCCAGCGCCCCCUCGCAACCCAAAUGCGGCGGCGAUCCACCGCUGACGGUAUUGCCUGAUGUCCAUUUGCCAGCCCUAGGCAGGGAACCCUCACCAGGCAAACUAGGGCGAAAUCUUCGUUGGCAUCGGACCCAUCGUCAGAAUCCCUGGCAUUAUGCCGCCGGCCGACACUAAAUUCGUCAAAGCGGACAUUGGACAUCACACGAUACUGUCCUCCACUCCUGUAUCCGACCAGGAUCCCUCAGACGCUUACUGUUGUAAGCUACAAACACAACCUGCCUCGAGAAAACUGAUCCCUUGCUAGACCCACCGGGCCCAGUCUUGCUGCGAUAGAAGCAAAUCACCUCUUUGAGAGGAACGCCAGAACUGCUGCUGGCCGCGCCACGAUUCCCAAGACCAGAUCCUGUUGAGGAAACGGUCCAGAUAUUUCUUUAACCCAGAACGAUCGGUAUUCCUCAAACAGAAUCUCCUAAAGUCCUGCCAAACGCAUAAUAUUACUUCUUACAUUAUUUUGUAACUGUUACAGUUUAUCGUGUUCAAUGUCUUCGCCGCCGGCAAUUCUUCCGGAAUAACAAUCAGCGUCAGCCAUCACCGUGGUCAAUUCUCGCCAAUAGGUUAUGAGCCCCGGCUAGCGCCGACAGCUAUCGUCCGAUUGUUAUUUCUAUCCCCUUUCGACAAUGGUCAAGGAUAAGCUUGAUGAACCGCUGGACCUCCACAACUACUCCACGUGGCAAAUCCGGUUUAGCGCGAUGUGCAUGGAGCUUGGGCUUGAGCAGGCUUUGCUCGCCGAACCGUGCAACGAGGAGCAGAUUCGUCAAUUGCGGAAAGUCAUCAACUUGCUUAUCAAGAACGUGAAGGAUCACCAUUUGCCGAUGGUCACCGGUGCCGCAAACGCGAAGAAGGCUUGGGACGCCUUGAACUCGAUGUUCGCUGCCAACAACAACGCCCGCAAGGUGGCUCUACGCCAAGAAUUCAGCCGCUUCAAGAUGGUCGACGGCGAGCCACUUCCGAAGUAUUUCGCGCGUGCGAGGCAGCUGCAAACGGACUUGUUGAUGUUGUUACAGGGUGGUUAAGCUUCACCAGUGGCCUCCUUCCCGAGGCAAUUCCUUGCUCUCCCCUGCUAGAGGGGCACCCUAGGCCAUUCACCCCAUCCGACUUCAGAGUGUACUCUUUGAGUUUGGCAACUCACCACCAGCAUCCAACCAAAUCUAACGGAUCAACGGCGCGUCAACUUAGGGUUUAAAACAGGUCAGCUCGCGAGUUGAUUUUAUCACGUCCUACACCGUCCACAAAAUGGGGGGCAUGUUGAGGAAACGGUCCUCUCCCAACUCGUGUGGUUGUCGACCAGGGGAUUUGACCCCGGGUCUGCGCCUGACUAAUGGGGAAGACUUACCCCAGAACCUUAUGGGGCUACCGAUGCAUAUCCGGUAGCUAAGUGAUAGACAUUAGGGCACCGUCUGGACGGCGCAGUGAGAUCGCGGAAUGUACGUGCAGUUAGAUCGCGGAAUGUACGAGUUUUCCGCUAGCGCCGGUAUUUAGGGCGGUGACUGCGCCUAUUAGUUUAUCUCACAACGAUCGGUAUUCCUACCAGGAAUCUCCUCAAGUCCUGCCGAACGCUAACAAUACUCUUUACAUUACUUGUAACAAUUUAUCGUGCUAAAUAUCUUCGCCACCGGUAAUCCUUCCGAAAUAACAAUCAGCGUUAGCCGUCACCGUCGCCAAUUCUUCAAUAGGUUAUGAGCCCCGAUUAGCGCCGACAGUUAUCGCCCAAUUGUUAUUUCUAUCCCUCAUCGACAAUGGUUAAGGACAAGCUUGAUGAGUCGCUGGAUCUCAACAACUACUCUACCUGGCAAAUUCGAUUUAGCGCGAUGUGCAUGGAGCUUGGGCUUGAGCAAUCCCUGCUCGCCGAGCCGUGCAACGAGGAGCAGAUUCGACAGUCACGGAAGGUCAUCAAUCUGCUCNNNNNNNNNNNNNNNNNNNNNNNNNNNNNNNNNNNNNNNNNNNNNNNNNNNNNNNNNGGCUACAAGGGUGGCUACAGCAACAGUGGUAACGGAGGUAGUGGCAGCGGAGCUAGCGGCAGCAAGCCAGGAUCCGGUGGAUCAGCUAGGAGGCCAGGAGUUCCGCGGCAGGUAGCAUUCGUGGCAUACAACAGCAAUCGUCCGACGGAAUGGUUUCUGGACUCAGCCGCCACUCACCACAUAACGUAUGACCGCUCAGAACUUUCCAACGUGCGGUUAUUGGAGCCAUGGGAGCGCUUCAACAUCAUGGGCAUCAAGGGACAGUCUCUUCGGCCGACUGAAGUUGGCACGCUUACGAUUCGGUCUAACGUCAACGAUAAACAGGCCAUCACUUUCAAGAAGGUCUACGUCGACGAGGAGGCCACCGCCAAAAUCAUAUCGGUACGCAUCAUUGAUGAUCGUGGAGGCAGUGUGGUCUUCGGCGGCGGACAGGCGAAAGUAUACGUACAGAAUCAGUUGGUGCUGACUGGAAAGCGAGAUGGGGACUUGUAUCCCGUCUGCUACAGCAGUGGAGGUACGGGAGCUCUGAAGAGGAUGCAGCGUGAAGACAACAGGAUACCUUCUGGUGGUGAUGCAGUGUAUGCUGCCGUGGGUAUCGGAGCUGAACGUGCAGCACUUUGGCACCGAAGGUAUGGCCACUUGGGAUACAGCAACCUUGAGACGUUGCUGCGUCAUAAUAUGGUAGCUGGAUUUGAUGUUGACCGACACAGCAUACAAUCAGCCAGCACGUGUGUGUGUGAGACUUGCGUCCUUGCUAAACAUACACGUGGUCCUUUUCCGUUAUCUGGGCAUAAGGCAGCGCAGCCUCUCGCGCUCAUUCACAUGGAUGUGUGUGGGCCUAUGCCUGAACCUUCGCCUAGUGGUUCACGUUACGUGACAACCCUGCUUGACGACCAUACUGGUCUUUCAGCUGUUGCGUUUACAGCGACCAAGGAGGAGGUCUACCAGAAGAUGGUGGUAAUGAUAGCGGAACUGGAGCGCGCUACUGGCAGGCAGGUUAAGGAGGUGCGUACAGAUCGUGGCAGGGAGUUCGUUAAUACUCGCACGAAGGCCUAUUUCGCUUCCAGGGGUAUUCUACACGGAACUACGGUAGGCUACACCCCUGAGCAGAACGGAGCUGCAGAACGUUUAAAUCGCACUCUUUUGGACAAGACUAGGGCUAUGCUAGUUGAGUCUGGACUGCCUAAAUCAUUAUGGGCGGAGGCGUUAGCGACAGCCAACUAUCUUAGGACUGUGUCGCCAACUGCUGGGUCAACCGUCACUCCGUACGAAGCUUUCUUUAACGUUCGUCCGAACGUCAGUCACCUGCGAGUCUUUGGAUGCGUUGCCUACGUCCACGUACCCGACGUCAAGCGCGACAAGUUCGACCCGGUGAGCAGGCGUGGAAUACUUGUCGGAUACGGGAACGGUGGACAGUAUCGUGUACUAUACGAGGACGGCAUUAUUGCCGUAGUUUCCAACGUUCGUUUUGAUGAAUCUAACGUCGGCCGGCGGCAUAAUGCCGGGGACUCCGAUUAUGAGUCCGAUGCCGACGAGGAGGAGGAUUUUUGCACUAGUUUGCCUGGUGAGGGAUCGCUGCCUAGGGCUGGCGAAGGGAUACCAGGUAGCACCGUCGGCGAGGGAUCGCCGCACUUGGGUGGCGAGGGGGCGCCGGCUGGGGCUGGACCUUCCAGCAGUGCGAACGGGCAAGGAAUCAAUCAGCCUGAUGUGGAAAUGGCGGGAACUAGGUACCCAGUUAGAGAGCGUAAACGCCCUGGCGAAUGGUGGCGAAACGAACCUGGUCGCACUGUCACUGGUCGCGUUAACGCUGCUUUCUCUGCUGGUAUUCCUGAGCCUAAUUCGUUUGAGGAAGCAAUUGCAAGUCCACAUGCAGACGACUGGCGGCGUGCGAUGGACGAGGAGAUCGCCGCCCAGAUGGCUAACAGUACUUGGGAGCUGAAGAAGCCACCUCCUGGUACUCGUUUGUUGCNNNNNNNNNNNNNNNNNNNNNNNNNNNNNNNNNNNNNNNNNNNNNNNNNNAUAUGGGGAGUUGUUUGCCCCUACCUCUCGUGGUUCGUCAUUGCGUGCUUUAUUAGCAGUUGCCGCAGCCCGGAACAUGACGGUACAUCAACUCGAUGUGUCUACUGCGUUUCUGAAUGGUGAGCUGAAGGAGGAGUUGUGGAUGGAGCAACCGCCUGGGUAUGCAUCCAGUGACCGGUCGCUUGCGUGCAAGCUGCAGAAGUCUAUUUACGGUUUGAAGCAGGCACCCCGUUGCUGGUAUGAAAAGCUAUCAGCAGAGUUCGCCAAGUUGGGUCUUUAUCCUUCGAAGUCUGAUCCGGCGAUGUUCGUUAAGACUGACGAGCGUGGGGUUGUUAUUGCUUUGGUGCACGUAGAUGACACUAUUGUUGCGUCGGAAGACCCGGAAAUGGUCCGGGCAAUUAAAGCCGCAAUUGCAAAGGUCUUCAAGGUGCGCGACCUUGGAGAAGCGAAGGUGUUUUUGGGCAUGGAAAUUAGGAGGGAGAAGUCGGGUGAAAUAGUGUUGUCGCAACAUAGGUAUAUUUCGCAGCUAUUGGAGCGUCAUAAGUUGGUUGACGCCAAGCCGAGGUCUACCCCUUUGCCUCCGGGCUUUAGGUACACUCCUAAGGGGGACGGAGAGGAGCUGCUGGGCAAUCCCACCGAGUAUAGGGCUUUGGUGGGAGAAUUGAACUAUCUAGCGACGAACACGCGGCCUGACAUUUCAUAUGCAUUAAGCGUUUUGUCCCGGCAUAUGGCCGCACCCACGAAGUGUGCCAUGAACUUGGCAACUAGCGUUCUGCGUUACCUGGCGGGGACUCGCGAACUAGGAUUGCGUUUUGGGGGUGUUGGCGACGUUGCUAUGUCCGGGUACAGUGAUUCGGACUGGGCAGGAGACCCAGUUACGCGGCGUUCUACGUCCGGUUACGUAUUCACUCUUAAUGGGGCUGCGAUUAGCUGGAGCAGCCAACUUCAACGUACUGUGGCGGCUUCGUCGGUGGAGGCUGAGUACCAAGCUACAGCGGCGGCUGUUCGUGAGGCUUUGUGGCUUCGCAAGCUGAUGGUUGAUUUGGGCUUGCCUGAGAGCGCGGUGAAAAUCCAGAUAGACUCCCAGGGGGCGCUUAGCUUGGGAAACAACCCGAUUACGUCUGCUCGGUCGAAGCACAUCGACGUGCAGCAUCACAUAGUGCGUGAGAGGGUGAAUAGCGGGGAGGUGCAGUUGGAAUACUGCCCUACGGAGUGGAUGGUUGCGGAUGUGCUAACGAAGGCUCUGGGCGAGGUGAAGUUCAAACGUUGCCGAGAUGCUAUGGGCCUUGUGUGAAGUGUGCAGAUGAACUUGGUACUCGUUGGGAUAUGGCCCGAGGGGGCGUGUUGAGGAAACGGUCCUCUCCCAACUCGUGUGGUUGUCGACCAGGGGAUUUGACCCCGGGUCUGCGCCUGACUAAUGGGGAAGACUUACCCCAGAACCUUAUGGGGCUACCGAUGCAUAUCCGGUAGCUAAGUGAUAGACAUUAGGGCACCGUCUGGACGGCGCAGUGAGAUCGCGGAAUGUACGUGCAGUUAGAUCGCGGAAUGUACGAGUUUUCCGCUAGCGCCGGUAUUUAGGGCGGUGACUGCGCCUAUUAGUUUAUCUCACAACGAUCGGUAUUCCUACCAGGAAUCUCCUCAAGUCCUGCCGAACGCUAACAAUACUCUUUACAUUACUUGUAACAAUUUAUCGUGCUAAAUAUCUUCGCCACCGGUAAUCCUUCCGAAAUAACAAUCAGCGUUAGCCGUCACCGUCGCCAAUUCUUCAAUAGGGGCCACCUCCCAUUUCAUCACCUCUCAAACACCCCGAGAGGUCGGCAGGCGGAUUUAAACCCGGACGCGCCGGGACGCGAUGGGAGCAGAUGCCAG
Molecule: long non-coding RNA, 18269 nt
Filed under: Volvox carteri
Lineage: Eukaryota; Viridiplantae; Chlorophyta; Chlorophyceae; Chlamydomonadales; Volvocaceae
Description: long non-coding RNA (VCAR_LNC000381)
Source: RNAcentral